UACGGAGGGUGCAAGCGUUGUUCGGAUUUAUUGGGCGUAAAGCGCGUGUAGGCGGUUUCUUAAGUCUGAUGUGAAAGCCCUGGGCUCAACCCAGGAAGUGCAUUGGAUACUGGGAAACUUGAAUACGGGAGAGGGUAGUGGAAUUCCUAGUGUAGGAGUGAAAUCCGUAGAUAUUAGGAGGAACACCGGUGGCGAAGGCGGCUACCUGGGACCGAUAUUGACGCUGAGACGCGAAAGCGUGGGGAGCAAACAGG
This 254-nucleotide ribosomal RNA is filed under the name uncultured bacterium. RNAcentral's name for it is "partial 16S ribosomal RNA". It matches the Rfam family "Bacterial small subunit ribosomal RNA", at positions 524 to 776 of the family's 1533-position model. The record is from RNAcentral.